Thalassophryne amazonica is the source of this 261-nucleotide long non-coding RNA. RefSeq lists it as uncharacterized. The transcript is spliced from 2 exons. The record is from RefSeq and is a predicted model, not a curated record. NCBI's taxonomy places the organism in Eukaryota, Metazoa, Chordata, Actinopteri, Batrachoidiformes, Batrachoididae.
UGACCCAGACGCCACGUCCUCAAGAGUCUCAGACGUGCUCGUUCACUCAGCGACCAUGCUCGCAGCCGCGCCUGGAUGGCCUGGAGUACUGCAUGAAACACAUCUUGGAGGACAAGAACGCACCAUUCAAGCAGUGCAGCUAUGUCUCCACCAAGAAUGGCAAACGCUGCCCCCAACGCAGCACCAAAGGUCGAAAAGAAAGAUGGGGUGACUUUCUGUGCAGAGCAUGCUCAUAGGAAUGCCAUGACCCUCCGAGCUCAC